Molecule: ribosomal RNA, 248 nt
Filed under: uncultured bacterium
Lineage: Bacteria
Description: partial 16S ribosomal RNA
Rfam family: Bacterial small subunit ribosomal RNA
Source: RNAcentral
UACGUAGGGGGCGAGCGUUGUCCGGAUUUAUUGGGCGUAAAGAGCUCGUAGGCGGCUUGGCAAGUCGGGUGUGAAACCUCCAGGCUCAACCUGGAGACGCCACUCGAGACUGCUAUGGCUAGAGUCCGGUAGGGGACCACGGAAUUCCUGGUGUAGCGGUGAAAUGCGCAGAUAUCAGGAGGAACACCGGUGGCGAAGGCGGUGGUCUGGGCCGGCACUGAGGCACGAAAGCUAGGGGAGCAAACAGG